RNAcentral lists this ribosomal RNA (299 nucleotides) under Fibrobacter succinogenes. RNAcentral's name for it is "partial 16S ribosomal RNA". Lineage: Bacteria; Pseudomonadati; Fibrobacterota; Fibrobacteria; Fibrobacterales; Fibrobacteraceae. The record is from RNAcentral.
GGAGUCUGGGCCGUAUCUCAGUCCCAAUGUGGCCGAUCACCCUCUCAGGCCGGCUACCGAUCGUCGCCUUGGUGGGCCGUUGCCCCGCCAACUAGCUAAUCGGACGCAAGCUCAUCCCGUACCGAUAAAUCUCUAGUCAAGAACCCAUGCAGGUUCCCACUCUCCUGGACAUUAACCGCGCGUUGGCACGGGUAUUUCCUGAUACGGGGCAGAUUGCUUACGCGUUACUCACCCGUUCGCCGCUCGGCAUUGCUGCCUCGCUCGACUUGCAUGUAUAAGACACGCCACCAGCGUUCGUU